Molecule: ribosomal RNA, 443 nt
Filed under: uncultured bacterium
Lineage: Bacteria
Description: partial 16S ribosomal RNA
Rfam family: Bacterial small subunit ribosomal RNA
Source: RNAcentral
CCUACGGGAGGCAGCAGUGGGGAAUAUUGGGCAAUGGAGGCAACUCUGACCCAGCAACGCCGCGUGAAUGAUGAAGGUCUUCGGAUUGUAAAGUUCUGUGAUGGGGGAUGAACACAAUGACGGUACCCCAAUAGCAAGCCACGGCUAACUACGUGCCAGCAGCCGCGGUAAUACGUAGGUGGCAAGCGUUAUCCGGAAUGACUGGGCGUAAAGGGUGCGUAGGUGGUUUAGUAAGUUGGCGGUGUAAUUCCGGGGCUCAACCUCGGCGCUACCGCCAAAACUAUUAGACUAGAGUGCAGGGGGGGUAAGUGGAAUUCCUAGUGGAGCGGUGGAAUGCGUAGAUAUUAGGAGGAACAUCAGGGGCGAAGGCGACUUACUGGACUGUAACUGACACGGAGGCACGAAAGCGUGGGGAGCAAACAGGAUUAGAUGCCCUUGUAGUC